This is a long non-coding RNA of Coregonus clupeaformis (lake whitefish), 836 nucleotides long. RefSeq lists it as uncharacterized. The record is from RefSeq and is a predicted model, not a curated record. Lineage: Eukaryota; Metazoa; Chordata; Actinopteri; Salmoniformes; Salmonidae. The transcript has 3 exons.
UUUGCCCUCCUGGUCCAGCUGAUCUAGGCUGCCGCCGCCAGUUGAUCUUCUGAAGAAUGUCUCCAGCACACCUCUAUCCAUAUAGGGCUUGCAGUUGCCGUACAACACCUGCUGGUAGCCAUGUUGGAAGACCACCGCAUUAAUUCUUCCGACAAGAACAGAUGAGUGGCUACCCCAAACUGCAUGAUAACAGUGCCCAAAACGAGUUGAUUCAUCACCACGGUCAUUUUCUGUGCAGUGUUUGGCUGCUCUAACAAGACAGGAUUGUUUUUUUUACAGAUUACCCACAAUCAUGAAACACCAAGGAGAUAAGACUCACGAACAGUCAGAAAAGCGAAUAAACUUUUUUGCCCCUCAAGACCUGAACCCAGACAGCUGUCAGCCAAGGGUCUGCUCUGAUCAUUUCAUCACUGGUUCAACAGCUGACUAUCUAGACACCCAUGUUGGCUGGAUUCCCACUGUGAAAAUGAGCAAUGCUGCAGCAGCAUCAAUUUCUACUUCUACUUCGUCCUUUUCCAGAUAUGGAAGGAUACAUCCCUCAGUUAGACAAAAUGGUUGUCAUAUGCUGUGCUUUGGUCAAUCUGAAUGAUUCUGUUGUGCCAUUUGAGGAGAGAGCACCUUCACCUUGUUGUCAUGACAAAAGUGACCCCUUACACUGUAUGAAUAUAUCAAAUGUAAUUUGGAAAAACAUGUAAAAGACUAUUGUUUAUGAUAUUGUAAACAUACUGUACUUUAAUAAUAGGCUAUAUUGUUGUAUGGGUGAAAUGAAAAGUAUUUUGUGUGUCAUCUCUGCUUUGCCUUGCCCCAUUGAAUAAAAUGUAUUUCUUAUAGCCUAA